UUGUUCCGUGAACAAUAAGUAACCCAGUUAGUUAGUUAUCAACUCAGAGGAAACAAGAGGCUGGUUGAUAAUUUAUAGCAGCACAACCAAUUUAAAUGGAAAGUUCAUAUGAAGAGAUUUCCAUCAGAAGAGACCCAAAUCGGCUACGCACCUUGUCUAUGAACACUCUGUGCUGGUUGGCAGAGUAAGGCCUGGACUAUAAAAUGGAGCUGCUGGGAUGAUCAGCUAACAAGAACAAGAGCUGGAUUUGGAUGUUAUUUCACUUGAAGGCAAUGAAGGAGAAAGCUGAGUGGACCUGGACCUUGUGGCAUUUAUUAAACACGCACACAGCAGAAUAUUGCCCUGUACCUUGUUACAGCACCUUAACAUGUAUAUUGCAUUACAACUUCAGUUCAAAGUAGCAAUGGAGGGGUUAAGCAGAAGUUAAUCAUCACAUAAGACAGGGGCCAUUUGGUUUAUAAAUGCACAAAUUAUGGAGGACUUGGAUAAUUAGUAACCAGCUCAGGCCCCCUGAGUCCAGUGAUUAUCAUAACCCACAGUAUUACCAAGGCCAGAAACUGAAGACCCACAUCACCAUAAGAAGAGUGGGAGACAUCAGCAAAGGCACCUCAAGAAGAAAAUAA
Molecule: long non-coding RNA, 623 nt
Organism: Spea bombifrons (plains spadefoot toad)
Lineage: Eukaryota; Metazoa; Chordata; Amphibia; Anura; Pelobatidae
Exons: 2
Source: RefSeq, a predicted model, not a curated record